Molecule: microRNA precursor, 193 nt
Filed under: Oryza sativa Japonica Group (Japanese rice)
Lineage: Eukaryota; Viridiplantae; Streptophyta; Magnoliopsida; Poales; Poaceae
Description: MIR812 microRNA precursor family
Rfam family: MIR812 microRNA precursor family
Source: Rfam by way of RNAcentral
UUUACAUUGUUUAUGUCAAAUAUUUAAUCGUUCGUCUUAUUUAAAAAAGUUCUAUGAUUACUAUUUUUUUAUUAUUAGAUGAUAAAAACAUGAAUACUAUUUUAUGUGUGAUUAUUAUUUUAAAAAAAUUAUUAAUUUUUAAAUAAGAUAAAUGGUCAAAUAUUGAACACAGAAAUCCAAAGUUACACUAAAA